Molecule: ribosomal RNA, 467 nt
Filed under: uncultured bacterium
Lineage: Bacteria
Description: partial 16S ribosomal RNA
Rfam family: Bacterial small subunit ribosomal RNA
Source: RNAcentral
GACGAACGCUGGCGGCGUGCUUAACACAUGCAGGUCGAACGGAAAGGCCCUGCUUUUGUGGGGUGCUCGAGUGGCGAACGGGUGAGUAACACGUGAGUAACCUGCCCUUGACUUUGGGAUAACUUCAGGAAACUGGGGCUAAUACCGGAUAGGAGCUCCUGCUGCAUGGUGGGGGUUGGAAAGUUUCGGCGGUUGGGGAUGGACUCGCGGCUUAUCAGCUUGUUGGUGGGGUAGUGGCUUACCAAGGCUUUGACGGGUAGCCGGCCUGAGAGGGUGACCGGCCACAUUGGGACUGAGAUACGGCCCAGACUCCUACGGGAGGCAGCAGUGGGGAAUAUUGCACAAUGGGCGGAAGCCGGAUGCAGCAACGCCGCGUGCGGGAUGACGGCCUUCGGGUUGUAAACCGCUUUCGCCUGUGACAAAGCGUGAGUGACGGUAAUGGGGAAAGAAGCACCGGCGAACUACGU